AGAGUUUGAUCCUGGCUCAGAAUGAACGCUGGCGGCGCGCCUAACACAUGCAAGUCGAACAAGAAAUCUUGAGCUUGCUCGAGAGAGUAAAGUGGCGCACGGGUGAGUAACGCGUGGGUAACCUGUCCUUAAAUCUGGGAUAAUCCACCGAAAGGUGGCCUAAUACCGGAUACAGUCCUGAAAACCGUGGUUUUCAGGAUGAAAGCUGACCUCUUCAUGAAAGUUGGCGUUUAAGGAGGGGCCCGCGUACCAUUAGCUUGUUGGUAGGGUAAAGGCCUACCAAGGCUACGAUGGUUAGCUGGUCUGAGAAGACGGCCAGCCACACUGGAACUGAAACACGGUCCAGACUCCUACGGGAGGCAGCAGUGAGGAAUCUUGCGCAAUGGGGGAAACCCUGACGCAGCGACGCCGCGUGAGUGAAGAAGGCCUUCGGGUCGUAAAGCUCUGUCAAGUGGGAAUAAAACUGUGCAUUUAACAAGUGCAUAGUCUGAAGGUACCACUAAAGGAAGCACCGGCUAACUCCGUGCCAGCAGCCGCGGUAAUACGGAGGGUGCAAACGUUGUUCGGAAUUAUUGGGCGUAAAGAGCGUGUAGGCGGCUGGGUUAGUCAGAUGUGAAAUCCUUCUGCUCAACAGAAGAAGUACGUCUGAAACUACCCAACUUGAGUACGAGAGAGGAAAGUGGAAUUCCCAGUGUAGAGGUGAAAUUCGUAGAUAUUGGGAGGAACACCGGUGGCGAAGGCGACUACCUGGACCGAUACUGACGCUGAGGUGCGAAAGCGUGGGGAGCAAACAGGAUUAGAUACCCUGGUAGUCCACGCCGUAAACGAUGGGUACUAGGUGGUGCGGGUAUUGACCCCUGCGCCGCCGGCGCUAACGCAUUAAGUCCCCGCCUGGGAGUACGGUCGCAAGGCUAAACUCAAAGGAAUUGACGGGGCCCGCCAAGCGGUGGAGCAUGUGUCAAUUCGAUGCAACGCGAAAACCUAACUGGUUUGACAUCCUCUGACAGUCCCUGAAAGGGAUCUUCCCGAUUUAUCGGACAGAUGACAGGUGCUGCAUGCUGCCGUCAGCUCGGUCUGGAAAUGUGGUAGUCCGCACGAGCGCAACUUGCUUAGUGCAAAUUAAGUAGCACUCUAAGAAUCUUGCCUCGGUACCGAGAAGUGGGAUAGACUCAGGUCCUAGGCCUAUACAAGGCUACACGUGCUACAGUGUGAUUGCACAA
RNAcentral lists this ribosomal RNA (1220 nucleotides) under uncultured prokaryote. Its description in RNAcentral is "partial 16S ribosomal RNA". It matches the Rfam family "Bacterial small subunit ribosomal RNA", at positions 8 to 1242 of the family's 1533-position model. The record is from RNAcentral.